GUGGUUGACUAGUUGUUGUAACGUUCUCUUGGUGGUUGUGACGGCACAGACGACUAACAUGAGGAAGCCGGUAAUGAUGAACUCCAUCACGAAUGCUUGAAGAUCAGACCCAGAAGGAGAUGACCCGAGGAAGACAUCAUGUUUCUUGCUGCACACAUCAUUGUUCAGAUCAAACAGAAGACGCAGAGUCGCAGAUGCCAAGGUUGAUCCGAUGACUUGAACAGUUAUGUAGGCCGGGACUUGAUUCAGAGGGAAUCUUUGGGAAGAUGCUAAGGCAAGAGUGACAGCAGGAUUGAAAUGUGCAGAGAGGUGGCCGAGACAGUAAACAAGAACCAUUAUCACUAUACCCCAAACCACAGCAAUCCCCACAAGAGUCACUACAUGGUUGUGUUGAGCAUUCACGGCAAUGGCGGCACAGCCAGCAAAUAUCAGAUAGUAAGUUCCAACGAGCUCCGCUAAGAGCUGCAGAUCAAAAGUGCUCAUCGUAAGUAUCAGUUAACACAAAAACUUGAAAAGCCUAUGGGUUAAAAAGAAGCUUUGAAGAGUGAAUAAAGCAGUGCUUCCUCAAUUUGGACUGAGAUAAACUUACCUUUUGCAAGAAAUGGACAGAGAGCAAAGGCGGGGACGAUGACUCGUGUUUGUUGGAAGGAAGAGAAGUGUCUGCAAGAGAAGACGCUUUGAUGUUGAGCACAACAACAUUUCCGUGGUUGCUUUUGCUCACUGAUAUGUCAUCCAUUUUUCUUUUUGUCCGAGAAAUAGAAAGAAAAAAAAGUUCUGUAUAAGCUUUGAUUGAUGUUUGAAGUUAUGUGUUUGAGAGAUUUUUUUUUUUUUUUUCCUUCUUGUGUGUUUGAGAGAUUGUAA
Arabidopsis thaliana (thale cress) is the source of this 861-nucleotide long non-coding RNA. RefSeq annotates it as other RNA. Lineage: Eukaryota; Viridiplantae; Streptophyta; Magnoliopsida; Brassicales; Brassicaceae. The record is from RefSeq. The transcript has 2 exons.